GAGGAGGAUCAUUCGCAAUGGGCGCAAGCCUGACGGUGCGACGCCGCGUGAGGGAUGAAGGCCUUCGGGUCGUAAACCUCUGUCAGGAGUAGGGAAUGGCGGGGGCGAUAACAUCGCUUCCGCGUGACUAAGGCUCCAAAGGAAGCCACGGCUAACUACGUGCCAGCAGCCGCGGUAAUACGUAGGUGGCGAGCGUUACUCGGAAUCACUGGGCAUAAAGGGCGUGUAGGCGGGUGCGUAAGUCCGGUGUAAAAGCCCUCCGCUCAACGGAGGAAAGCCAUUGGAUACUGCGUGCCUAGAGUGCGGGAGGGGAGAGUGGAACUCCUGGUGGAGCGGUGAAAUGCGUAGAUAUCAGGAGGAACGCCGGUGGCGAAAGCGGCUCUCUGGCCCGUUACUGACGCUGAGGCGCGAAAGCUAGGGGAGCAAACGGGAUUAGAUACCCGAGUAGUCC
This 451-nucleotide ribosomal RNA is filed under the name uncultured bacterium. Its description in RNAcentral is "bacterial SSU rRNA". It matches the Rfam family "Bacterial small subunit ribosomal RNA", at positions 354 to 796 of the family's 1533-position model. The record is from RNAcentral.